RNAcentral lists this ribosomal RNA (514 nucleotides) under uncultured bacterium. RNAcentral describes it as "bacterial SSU rRNA". It matches the Rfam family "Bacterial small subunit ribosomal RNA", at positions 106 to 654 of the family's 1533-position model. The record is from RNAcentral.
GUGAGUAACAUGUAGGUAUCUACCCUUUGGCCUGGAAUAACACGAGGAAACUUGUGCUAAUACCGGAUAAGUCUUUACGGAGAAAGCUUUAUGCACCAUUGGAUGAGCCUGCACUUGAUUACUUUGUUGGUGGGGUAAUGGCCUACCAAGACUGUGAUCAAUAGCUGAUUUGAGAGGAUGAUCAGCCACAUUGGGACUGAGACACGGCCCAAACUCCUACGGGAGGCAGCAGUGGGGAAUCUUGCACAAUGGAGGAAACUCUGAUGCAGCGAUGCCGCGUGAGUGAAGAAGGCCUUUGGGUUGUAAAGCUCUUUCGUCGGGGAAGAAAAUGACUGUACCCGAAUAAGAAGGUCCGGCUAACUUCGUGCCAGCAGCCGCGGUAAUACGAAGGGACCUAGCGUAGUUCGGAAUUACUGCGCUUAAAGAGUUCGUAGGUGGUUGAAAAAGUUAGUGGUGAAAUCCCACAGCUUAACUCUGGAACUGCCAUUAAAACUUUUCAGCUAGAGUAUGAUAG